GAAACCCGGUGAUCUAGCCAUGGGCAGGUUGAAGGUUGGGUAACACUAACUGGAGGACCGAACCGACUAAUGUUGAAAAAUUAGCGGAUGACUUGUGGCUGGGGGUGAAAGGCCAAUCAAACCGGGAGAUAGCUGGUUCUCCCCGAAAGCUAUUUAGGUAGCGCCUCGUGAACUCAUCUUCGGGGGUAGAGCACUGUUUCGGCUAGGGGGUCAUCCCGACUUACCAACCCGAUGCAAACUACGAAUACCGAAGAAUGUUAUCACGGGAGACACACGGCGGGUGCUAACGUCCGUCGUGAAGAGGGAAACAACCCAGACCGCCAGCUAAGGUCCCAAAGUCAUGGUUAAGUGGGAAACGAUGUGGGAAGGCAUAGACAGCCAGGAUGUUGGCUUAGAAGCAGCCAUCAUUUAAAAAAUAGCUCACUGGUCGAGUCGGCCUGCGCGGAAGAUGUAAACGGGGCUAAACCAUGCACCGAAGCUGCGGCAGCGACACUAAGUGUUGUUGGGUAGGGGAGCGUUCUGUAAGCCUGUGAAGGUGGCCUGUGAGGGCUGCUGGAGGUAUCAGAAGUGCGAAUGCUGACAUAAGUAACGAAAGCGGGUGAAAAGCCCGCUCGCCGGAAGACCAAGGGUUCCUGUCCAACGUUAAUCGGGGCAGGGUAAGUCGACCCCUAAGGCGAGGCCGAAAGGCGUAGUCGAUGGGAAACAGGUUAAUAUUCCUGUACUUGGUGUUAUUGCGAAGGGGGGACGGAGAAGGCUAGACCGCCGGGCGACGGUUGUCCCGGUUUAAGCGUGUAGGUGUGAUGACCUGGCAAAUCCGGUUAUCUCUAACACUGAGGCGUGAUGACGAGGCACUACGGUGCUGAAGUGGUUAAUGCCCUGCUUCCAGGAAAAGCCUCUAAGCUCUAGAUAACACUGAAUCGUACCCCAAACCGACACAGGUGGUCAGGUAGAGAAUACCAAGGCGCUUGAGAGAACUCCGGGUGAAGGAACUAGGCAAAAUGGUGCCGUAACUUCGGGAGAAGGCACGCUGGCAUGUAGGUGAAGUCCCUCGCGGAUGGAGCCGAAGCCAGUCGAAGAUACCAGCUGGCUGCAACUGUUUAAUAAAAACACAGCACUCUGCAAACACGAAAGUGGACGUAUAGGGUGUGACGCCUGCCCGGUGCUGGAAGGUUAAUUGAUGGGUCAGCCGCAAGGCGAAGCUCUUGAUCGAAGCCCAGUAAACGGCGGCCGUAACUAUAACGGUCCUAAGGUAGCGAAAUUCCUUGUCGGGUAAGUUCCGACCUGCACGAAUGGCGUAAUGAUGGCCAGGCUGUCUCCACACCCGAGACUCAGUGAAAUUGAACUCGCUGUGAAGAUGCAGUGUACCCGCGGCAAGACGGAAAGACCCGUGAACCUUUACUAUAGCUUGACACUGAACAUUGAACCUUGAUGUGUAGGAUAGGUGGGAGGCUUUGAAGUGUGGACGCCAGUCUGCAUGGAGCCGACCUUGAAAUACCACCCUUUAAUGUUUGAUGUUCUAACCUGGUCCCGUAAUCCGGAUAGGGACAGUGUCUGGUGGGUAGUUUGACUGGGGCGGUCUCCUCCCAAAGAGUAACGGAGGAGCACGAAGGUUAGCUAAUCCUGGUCGGACAUCAGGAGGUUAGUGCAAAGGCAUAAGCUAGCUUGACUGCGAGAGUGACGGCUCGAGCCAGGUGCGAAAGCAGGUCUUAGUGAUCCGGUGGUUCUGAAUGGAAGGGCCAUCGCUCAACGGAUAAAAGGUACUCCGGGGAUAACAGGCUGAUACCGCCCAAGAGUUCAUAUCGACGGCGGUGUUUGGCACCUCGAUGUCGGCUCAUCACAUCCUGGGGCUGAAGUAGGUCCCAAGGGUAUGGCUGUUCGCCAUUUAAAGUGGUACGCGAGCUGGGUUUAGAACGUCGUGAGACAGUUCGGUCCCUAUCUGCCGUGGGCGUUGGAAGAUUGAGAGGGGCUGCUCCUAGUACGAGAGGACCGGAGUGGACGCACCGCUGGUGUUCGGGUUGUGAUGCCAAUUGCAUUGCCCGGUAGCUACGUGCGGAAGAGAUAAGCGCUGAAAGCAUCUAAGCGCGAAACUUGCCUCGAGAUGAGUCUUCCCUUGGACCUUGAGUCCACUAAAGGAACGUUUAAGACUAAGACGUUGAUAGGCUGGGUGUGUAAGCGUAGCGAUACGUUGAGCUAACCAGUACUAAUGAUCCGUGAGGCUUAACCUU
Molecule: ribosomal RNA, 2225 nt
Filed under: Edwardsiella tarda
Lineage: Bacteria; Pseudomonadati; Pseudomonadota; Gammaproteobacteria; Enterobacterales; Hafniaceae
Description: bacterial LSU rRNA
Rfam family: Bacterial large subunit ribosomal RNA
Source: RNAcentral